This 253-nucleotide ribosomal RNA is filed under the name uncultured bacterium. RNAcentral describes it as "partial 16S ribosomal RNA". It matches the Rfam family "Bacterial small subunit ribosomal RNA", at positions 524 to 776 of the family's 1533-position model. The record is from RNAcentral.
UACGGAGGGUGCGAGCGUUGUUCGGAAUCACUGGGCGUAAAGGGCGUGUAGGCGGUCCGCUAAGUCUGAUGUGAAAGCCCGGGGCUCACCCCCGGAAGGGCAUUGGAAACUGACGGACUCGAGUCCCGAAGAGGAGGGUGGAAUUCCUGGUGUAGCGGUGAAAUGCGUAGAUAUCAGGAGGAACACCGGUGGCGAAGGCGACAUCCUGGACCGGUAUUGACGCUGAGGCGCGAAAGCCAGGGGAGCAAACGGG